UUUUGCUGGCAUGCUGUAACACCAUAUCAUCCAUGAAUGUGGUGCAUGCAGUAGGUGCUGCUUUCUCCUUCCAGGAUUUUUAUUACAGCACUAACCACUGACACUUUGUUCUCUGCCAAUUCCUCUGCUCCCUUCUCUCAUGCUGGCAAAAAUAUAGCAGGAGACCUAAAACUGUAGGCCUUGGCAGGAUCAUGUGAAUAUGCUGAACACAUACAUGCUGAUUAAUUCAUUGCCUUAGCAACUGAAAAGUCUCAGCUUAUUCUCCCUUGUUUAUUGGCCCUUUCAGAGCUAAUGUGUGGGGUGAAGAUCAUCCAGAGGCAAAACGCAGCGUCCAUUGACUGCCUGCAUCUGCAAGGGGCCAAAGAAUUCUUUUGAUCCCAAAAGAUUGCCUGUUCCACACAAACAAGUCAGUUUCAGCCUAUGGCUUUGUAUGAAAGGAAUAUAAUACAUCCUGAAGCUCAGAGACCACUGGGGUUGCAUUCAUUGAUAUCCAGAGAUGAGCUCAUCUUCUACCUUAAACCAGUCCUCCUCCUGCAAGAAGGAUGGGAUAACAGGAGGCAGCUCUCAGAGCACCAGACCAUUAUAUUUCUUGCUAAGAAAUUAAUUAUUUGACCACUGGUACACGUGCCUGAGAGAAGACCAUUUAUAAUGCUGCAUCUUCAGCUAGCAUUUCUUCAGCAAGUAAUCCUUGACCUGGAAAUCUCUUUCACUGAAAAUGACUAAUUUUGCCAAUGUUAUUUUUUUGCUGUGACUAUGUUCUUCUGUCUAAUAUAGCCUAAAAGACUUAUUUUAUACUUUCCAAUAUUGGUAAAACAUAAAUAGAAAAUAGACAAUGAAAACUUUCACAAAGCAAAACUUCAAUUUGUUACCCCAGAACUCUGCAUUCGGAAGUGCAAAGUGAUGUACUGGCAAGCAAAAAGGAGAAAACACAGAAUUGACUAACUUAUGCUUUUCUUUGUUCAUAAACUCUAUUGCCAUUCUACACUGGUUUGGAUUUUGCUUCCCUUUUUAUUUUAAGGUGAUCUCACAUUUGACUAUCUUCAUCUGUACCCCUUGUUUUGAGCAACACUGCUUUUCAUGUCUCUCCAUUGCUUAGUUAAGAGAUGCAACAAAUCACAGGUAGUGAUAACACACAACUUGCUCUGUGCCAGCCUUGUCUGUAUCACCCCCAAUCUUGCCAUUUAUUUGCUAAAAGCAGCACUUCUCCAUGCAGUCAUUCUCAAAACUACAGUGCUAACCUUUAGG
This is a long non-coding RNA of Pezoporus occidentalis (night parrot), 1245 nucleotides long. RefSeq lists it as uncharacterized. Lineage: Eukaryota; Metazoa; Chordata; Aves; Psittaciformes; Psittacidae. The transcript has 3 exons. The record is from RefSeq and is a predicted model, not a curated record.